Molecule: ribosomal RNA, 497 nt
Filed under: uncultured bacterium
Lineage: Bacteria
Description: partial 16S ribosomal RNA
Rfam family: Bacterial small subunit ribosomal RNA
Source: RNAcentral
GAUGAACGCUGGCGGCGUGCCUAAUACAUGCAAGUCGAGCGAACGGACGAGAAGCUUGCUUCUCUGAUGUUAGCGGCGGACGGGUGAGUAACACGUGGAUAACCUACCUAUAAGACUGGGAUAACUUCGGGAAACCGGAGCUAAUACCGGAUGAUAUUUUGAACCGCAUGGUUCAAAAGUGAAAGACGGUCUUGCUGUCACUUAUAGAUGGAUCCGCGCUGCAUUAGCUAGUUGGUAAGGUAACGGCUUACCAAGGCAACGAUGCAUAGCCGACCUGGGAGGGUGAUCGGCAACACUGGAACUGAGACACGGUCCAGACUCCUACGGGAGGCAGCAGUAGGGAAUCUUCCGCAAUGGGCGAAAGCCUGACGGAGCAACGCCGCGUGAGUGAUGAAGGUCUUCGGAUCGUAAAACUCUGUUAUUAGGGAAGAACAUAUGUGUAAGUAACUGUGCACAUCUUGACGGUACCUAAUCAGAAAGCCACGGCUAACUACGUG